AGGACGAACGCUGGCGGCGUGCUUAACACAUGCAAGUGGAGCGACGAACCAGGCUUCGGCCUGGGGCAGAGCCGCGAACGGGUGAGUAACACGUGGGUAACGUGCCCCAAUGAUCGGGACAACCCGGGGAAACCCGGGCUAAUACCGAAUGUGCUGUCCCCACACCAGUGGGGAUUGGAAAGGAAGCUUCGGCCUCCGCAUUGGGAUCGGCCCGCGGCCCAUUAGCUUGUUGGUGAGGUAAAGGCUCACCAAGGCUUCGAUGGGUAGCUGGUCUGAGAGGACGAUCAGCCACACUGGGACUGAGACACGGCCCAGACUCCUACGGGAGGCAGCAGUGGGGAAUCCUGCGCAAUGCGCGAAAGCGCGACGCAGCAACGCCGCGUGGGGGAAGAAGGGCCUUCGGGUUGUAAACCCCUUUCGGGAGGACGAAGCCAGGGCGGUUAAUAGCCGACCCUGGUGACGGUACCUCCAGAAGAAGCCCGGCUAACUACGUGCCAGCAGCCGC
This 505-nucleotide ribosomal RNA is filed under the name uncultured soil bacterium. RNAcentral describes it as "bacterial SSU rRNA". It matches the Rfam family "Bacterial small subunit ribosomal RNA", at positions 26 to 518 of the family's 1533-position model. The record is from RNAcentral.